UACGGGGGGGGCAAGCGUUGUUCGGAAUUACUGGGCGUAAAGGGCUCGUAGGUGGUCAACUAAGUCAGACGUGAAAUCCCUCGGCUUAACCGGGGAACUGCGUCUGAUACUGGAUGGCUUGAGUUCGGGAGAGGGAUGCGGAAUUCCAGGUGUAGCGGUGAAAUGCGUAGAUAUCUGGAGGAACACCGGUGGCGAAGGCGGCAUCCUGGACCAAUACUGACGCUGAGGAGCGAAAGCCAGGGGAGCAAACGGG
This 253-nucleotide ribosomal RNA is filed under the name uncultured bacterium. RNAcentral describes it as "partial 16S ribosomal RNA". It matches the Rfam family "Bacterial small subunit ribosomal RNA", at positions 524 to 776 of the family's 1533-position model. The record is from RNAcentral.